AUCACUUCUCAGCCUUUUGCCCAAGAUCAAGUAUAGUAUUUGUUCUUAUCAGUUUACUCUGAUACGUCCUCUAACUGAGGGCAUUAUAAUUAAAUGUAUUUUUGUAGCAGAAAGAUGGAAUAGGAGCUUGCUCAGUCCACUUCACGCAUUGACCCAGUAUUGCAGUACUUCCAGGAACAAUGCAUCCGCC
Molecule: small nuclear RNA, 190 nt
Organism: Pteronotus mesoamericanus
Lineage: Eukaryota; Metazoa; Chordata; Mammalia; Chiroptera; Mormoopidae
Product: U2 spliceosomal RNA
Exons: 1
Source: RefSeq, a predicted model, not a curated record